This 598-nucleotide small RNA is filed under the name uncultured Ascomycota. RNAcentral's name for it is "eukaryotic LSU rRNA". The stretch from base 118 to 269 matches the Rfam family "5.8S ribosomal RNA". The record is from RNAcentral. Lineage: Eukaryota; Fungi; Ascomycota.
UGGCCUUUUGGGCCUUCAACCUUCAAAAACAUGUGGAAGCAAGAUGUGCUUCGGUGCCUCUGGUGCCGCCUUUAUGCAGUGAAGCCUUAUUUGUCUGAACCAAAAUCAAAAAGUUAAAACUUUCAACAAAGGAUCUCUUGGCUCUCACAUCGAUGAAGAACGCAGCGAAGCGCGAAAUGUAGUGUGAAUCGCAGAACUUAGUGAAUCAUCGAAUCUUUGAACGCACAUUGCGCCUCCCAUCAUCGGGAGGCAUGCCUGUCUGAGCGUCAUUUAAACCAUAGCUCCCAUCUGGGACUGUACUGGGCAUCGCCGACGGCGUAGCCUCAAAGACAUUGGUCUAAUCAAGCGGACGAGUUCCUUUAGGACGGACCGUUGGGUUGACCUUAAACCUCUGACUUGACCUCAGAUCAGGUAGGGCUACCGCCUGAACUUAAGCAUAUCAAUAAGGCGAGGAACAGAAACCAACAGGGAUUCCCCUAGUAGUGGCGAAUGAAGCGGGAAAAGCUCAAGUUUGAAAUCUGGGGCUUGCCCCAGAGUUGUAAGCUGAAGAGGUGUCGACCGACGCGGCCCGGGCUCAAUUUCCUUGGAACAGGAGGUC